Molecule: ribosomal RNA, 305 nt
Filed under: uncultured bacterium
Lineage: Bacteria
Description: bacterial SSU rRNA
Rfam family: Bacterial small subunit ribosomal RNA
Source: RNAcentral
UAGAUCCUACGGGAGGCAGCAGUGGGGAAUAUUGCGCAAUGGGCGAAAGCCUGAUGCAGCGACGCCGCGUGGGUGAAGGAGCGUUUCGGCGCGUAAAGCCCUAUCGGCAGGGAAGAAGAUGACGGUACCUGACCAAGAAGCCCCGGCUAACUACGUGCCAGCAGCCGCGGUAAUACGUAGGGGGCAAGCGUUAUCCGGAUUUACUGGGUGCAAAGGGGGCGCAGACGGCAAUGCAAGCCAGGAGUGAAAGCCCGGGGCCCAACCCCGGGACUGCUCUUGGAACCGCAUGGCUGGCGCACCGGAGG